UAGCAUACAGGUUUAUAAAUUUGAGCUCAGUUAAGUUACCUAUAGUUUUUGGAAUUGGGCCAGAAAGAUUGUUUGUGUGUAAGCUUAAAUUCUGAAGUGACUUCAUCUUCCCUAUUUCUGCAGGAAUAGAGCCAGAAAGGUGAUUCUCAUAAAGAUACAAAAGGGUCAAGUUGUUCAAAUUUCCCAAUGAAGAAGGAAUUGAACCAUUAAGAGAGUUGGUAGACAAAGCUAGUUCAGUAAGAGACCUUAGCUGACCUAUUUCUUCCGGAAUGGAACCAGAAAGGUGAUUCUCAUAAAGAUACAAAAGGGUCAAGUUGUUCAAAUUUCCCAAUGAAGCAGGAAUAGAACCAUUAAGAGAGUUGUUACUCAAAUCUAGUUUAGUAAGAGACCUUAGGUAACCUGUUUCUUCUGGAAUGGAGCCAGAAAGGUGAUUCUUAUAAAGAUACAAAUGGGACAAGUUGUACAAAUUCCCCAAUGAAGCAGGAAUCGAACCAUUAAGAGAGUUGGUAUACAAAGAUAGUUUUGUAAGAGACCUUAGCUGACCUAUUUCUUCCGGAAUGGAGCCAGAGAGUUGAUUCUCAAAAAGAUACAAAUGGGACAAGCUGUUCAAAUUCCCCAACGAAGCGGGAAUAGAACCAUUAAUAGAGUUGGUACUCAAUUCUAGUUUAGUAAGAGACCUUAGGUAACCUAUUUCUUCCGGAAUGGAACCAGAAAGGUGAUUCUCAUAAAGAUACAAAAGGGUCAAGUUGUUCAAAUUCCCCAACGAAGGAUGAAUAGAACCAUUAAGAGAGUUGGUACACAAAGCUAGUUCAGUAAGAGACCUUAGCUGACCUAUUUCUUCCGGAAUGGAACCAGAAAGGUGAUUCUCAUAAAGAUACAAAAGGGUCAAGUUGUUCAAAUUUCCCAAUGAAGCAGGAAUUGAACCAUUAAGAGAGUUGGUACUCAAUUCUAGAUCAGUAAGAGACCUUAGGUAACCUAUUUCUUCC
This 986-nucleotide long non-coding RNA is filed under the name Capsicum annuum. RNAcentral describes it as "long non-coding RNA (CANN_LNC021993)". Lineage: Eukaryota; Viridiplantae; Streptophyta; Magnoliopsida; Solanales; Solanaceae. The record is from RNAcentral.